RNAcentral lists this ribosomal RNA (287 nucleotides) under Acanthamoeba sp. VJM-2014. RNAcentral's name for it is "partial 18S ribosomal RNA". It matches the Rfam family "Eukaryotic small subunit ribosomal RNA", at positions 874 to 1096 of the family's 1831-position model. The record is from RNAcentral. Lineage: Eukaryota; Discosea; Longamoebia; Acanthamoebidae.
AGGGAUAGUUGGGGGCAUUAAUAUUUAAUUGUCAGAGGUGAAAUUCUUGGAUUUAUGAAAGAUUAACUUCUGCGAAAGCGUUUGCCAAGGAUGUUUUCAUUAAUCAAGAACGAAAGUUAGGGGAUCGAAGACGAUCAGAUACCGUCGUAGUCUUAACCAUAAACGAUGCCGACCAGCGAUUAGGAGACGUUGAAUACAAAACACCGCUGUUAGUCCUUUCGGGGAUUAAUAGUUGGUGAAUGACUCCCUAGCAGCUUGUGAGAAGACUCCCUAGCAGCUUGUGAGAU